This 139-nucleotide small RNA is filed under the name Streptomyces silvensis. RNAcentral's name for it is "c-di-AMP sequence". It matches the Rfam family "c-di-AMP riboswitch aptamer (ydaO/yuaA leader)". Rfam says of the family: This family represents a conserved RNA structure found upstream of the ydaO and yuaA genes in Bacillus subtilis and related genes in other bacteria. The ydaO/yuaA element is thought to act as a genetic "off" switch for the ydaO and yuaA genes in its native state. It is believed that the element may be triggered during osmotic shock leading to activation of ydaO, a predicted amino acid transporter gene, and members of the yuaA-yubG operon which code for KtrA and KtrB K+ transporters. The record is from Rfam by way of RNAcentral. Lineage: Bacteria; Bacillati; Actinomycetota; Actinomycetes; Kitasatosporales; Streptomycetaceae.
CGUGCGCACACGCCUAAUCCCGCAAGGGAGCCGGGGAACCACCAUUAUGGGGUGAAUCGGACACGAUCCGUCGUGCCCGUAGGAGACCUUCCUGCUCCGAACCCGUCAGCUAACCCGGUAGGCGAGAAGGAAGGAAAGG